GGACCCGUAGCCUAGUCUGGAUACGAUUUUAACUUUGCCAGAAAGGGCACAAGCCUCCUAAGCUUGAGGUCGUGGGUUCGAAUCCCACCGGGUCCG
Molecule: transfer RNA, 96 nt
Filed under: Nanobdellota archaeon
Lineage: Archaea; Nanobdellati; Nanobdellota
Description: tRNA-Arg
Rfam family: tRNA
About the family: Transfer RNA (tRNA) molecules are approximately 80 nucleotides in length.
Source: RNAcentral